RNAcentral lists this transfer RNA (74 nucleotides) under Candidatus Moranbacteria bacterium RBG_13_45_13. Its description in RNAcentral is "tRNA-Val". It matches the Rfam family "tRNA". Rfam says of the family: Transfer RNA (tRNA) molecules are approximately 80 nucleotides in length. Their secondary structure includes four short double-helical elements and three loops (D, anti-codon, and T loops). Lineage: Bacteria; Candidatus Moraniibacteriota. The record is from RNAcentral.
GGGCGAUUAGCUCAACUGGCUAGAGCGUCUGUCUUACAAACAGAAGGUUAGUGGUUCGAGUCCACUAUCGCCCA